This 63-nucleotide transfer RNA is filed under the name Abisara fylloides. RNAcentral describes it as "tRNA-Val". The record is from RNAcentral. Lineage: Eukaryota; Metazoa; Arthropoda; Insecta; Lepidoptera; Riodinidae.
CAAAUUAGAGCUUGUGUAAGUAUUUCAUUUACAUUGAAAAGAAAUUAAAUUUAAUUAAUUUGA